Molecule: ribosomal RNA, 443 nt
Filed under: uncultured bacterium
Lineage: Bacteria
Description: partial 16S ribosomal RNA
Rfam family: Bacterial small subunit ribosomal RNA
Source: RNAcentral
CCUACGGGAGGCAGCAGUGGGGAAUAUUGGGCAAUGGGCGCAAGCCUGACCCAGCAACGCCGCGUGAAGGAAGAAGGCUUUCGGGUUGUAAACUUCUUUUCUCAGGGACGAAGCAAGUGACGGUACCUGAGGAAUAAGCAACGGCUAACUACGUGCCAGCAGCCGCGGUAAUACGUAGGUGGCAAGCGUUAACCGGAUUUACUGGGUGUAAAGGGCGUGUAGGCGGGAUAGCAAGUCAGAUGUGGAAACCAUGGGCUCAACCUGUGACCUGCAUUUGAAACUGUUUUUCUUGAGUACUGGAGAGGCAGACAGAAUUCCUGGUGUAGCGGUGAAAUGCGUAGAGAUUAGGAGGAACACCAGUGGCGAAGGCGGUCUGCUGGACAGCAACUGACGCUGAGGCGCGAAAGCGUGGGGAGCAAACAGGAUUAGAUACCCUUGUAGUC